GCGGCCCUGAAGUAUUACUUCAUUUUUCUCACUAUGCUCGAUUCAUAUGUCACGAGACAGAGGUCCAGAAAGGGGAAGGUAUUUGCCCAGAGCCGUGAGGGUGGCUUUAGUCUCAAGUUACCACCGUGAAGAUGCCUUGGGAUUUACAUCCUUUUGUGUGCUGGCUACACAAUUCGUUUGGAUGUGAAACGAGCUUCCCCAAAUGACCCACCAUGUGGACUCCCAUAGCUGGUUUGGAAGAGUCUGACAUUCAGCAAGGAACACACACAGAGACUCCUGAUAGUGUGCAAGUCCCUGGAUCCAGCUGUUCCUGAUAACAACACAUUCUAUAGCACUGAGUUAUGAAGGAGUGUAAGAUCUAAGGCAAAGCAAGACAGGAACUUUUGGGACUGGAAGAAGAUGAUAGAAACAUUUCUACAUGAACAAGUUUCGUGGAUGAAGCUGUCUGCCUGUCUCUCCAUUAGGCUAGAAGCUUUCCUCCUUUUCUGCCUGGAAAUCACACAUUGAAAGACAUAGCUCUGAAUAAUUCAAAUAUGAUAAUGUUUUCCUAUUUGCCAAUCAGUUGACUUGUUUAAUAGUAUUUUUAAAAAUAUACCUAUUUAGUGAGCCACACAUAUUUUCAAUAUUGAACAUUUUUGUAAUAUCUGACAAAAAUGGAAAUUGAAGGCAUUUGUACAUUUAAACUAUUGACAGCAAAUUUUUAUAAAAAUGUAACAUUUGUUUGGGUGGGUAGAAAUAGAUAAAUGCAAGAGAAAAUGAUGUGAACCAUAAACUCACUGACAAAUCAUGAAAUAUAAUUGUUUCAUGUCAGUGCACAUUACCUAGAAUAUGAUUUUUGAUUUCUUAAAGCAUAAUA
This is a long non-coding RNA of Artibeus jamaicensis (Jamaican fruit-eating bat), 856 nucleotides long. RefSeq lists it as uncharacterized. The transcript has 4 exons. The record is from RefSeq and is a predicted model, not a curated record. Lineage: Eukaryota; Metazoa; Chordata; Mammalia; Chiroptera; Phyllostomidae.